UUUGAGUGUCAUGAACUCUCAACCUCCCGGGUUUCCUGGCGGUUGGAUCUGGGCGUUGCCACCGGCUCGCCUUAAAGACCUCAGUGGAGGAAGUGUCUACCCUGCGUAAUAAGUUUCGCUCGGGACGGCACGGAGCCGCUCAUAACACCCCAUACUUUUGAUCUGACCUCAAAUCAGGUAGGACUACCCGCUGAACUUAA
This 200-nucleotide unclassified non-coding RNA is filed under the name soil metagenome. RNAcentral's name for it is "partial contains internal transcribed spacer 2 and large subunit ribosomal RNA". The record is from RNAcentral.